Molecule: long non-coding RNA, 793 nt
Filed under: Notechis scutatus (mainland tiger snake)
Lineage: Eukaryota; Metazoa; Chordata; Lepidosauria; Squamata; Elapidae
Description: lncRNA (ENSNSUG00000010496.1)
Source: RNAcentral
GUUGCUCUCUAACCUCUAUGCAAUACGUGAUUUUUAGAAACCUCCCCCAGAAAUCCACCCCGAGGUGAAAGGAAGCCUCGAGGCCAAAACAUCCAGUGUUUCAGAAAUUCAGGCUCUCGUCAAAAAUUUUGAGGGCAGCUUGCAGUCCCUACACCUCAAAUUUCAAGAGAGUUUGCAACUGUACGAUAAGGUGUUGUCCAGCCCCGGUGGGACCGAGGAGGAGCUCGCCCACGUCCAGCAGAGGCUUUCUAGCACCUUCCGCUGGAUGAAGAGCGAGCUGGCGGCCAGAGAGAGCAAGGGCAAAGCCGACGUAGCCACCGCCACCGACCCCUCGUCCUUCUGGCCGAUCUGCCUCCAGGAGGGCGAGGCCCACGCGCUCCUGAAGCACUACUCUGACUCUCUCCUGAAUGUGGUUCAGAAGAAGCUGGAGGAGGCCCGGAAAACCAGCCUGCCUUGAGGGACCCCCCCCCCCCCCGUUCCUGCCCCUUCCGCACAUUUGCCACGCACAGAUGUCCGUUUCGGUGGGACUCCCAAAGAGCUGAGACCGUGUGACACGAGCACCGAUUCACGUGUUGCCUUUUAGCACUUUGUUCGCAUCCAUAGGAAAAUCUCAAAGGUUCGCCCAGAAACGCUGACAAUGUGAAUGCCUCCUUUUACGGGAAAAGAAAUAAUAAUAAUAAUAAUAAUGUUUUUAUAAGACUGAGGAAAGAGGGAUAAAAUUCAAAAGGGGCGUCUUGAAAUUCUCCUAUGGUUGCUGUUUUAAACUCGGGUUGCAGCACAGCUUUGUAACGGU